This 432-nucleotide ribosomal RNA is filed under the name uncultured bacterium. RNAcentral describes it as "partial 16S ribosomal RNA". It matches the Rfam family "Bacterial small subunit ribosomal RNA", at positions 29 to 507 of the family's 1533-position model. The record is from RNAcentral.
ACGAACGCUGGCGGCAUGCCUAACACAUGCCAGUCGAACGAGACCUUCGGGUCUAGUGGCGCACGGGUGCGUAACGCGUGGGAACCUGCCCUUAGGUUCGGAAUAACUCCCCGAAAGGGGUGCUAAUACCGGAUAAUGUCUUCGGACCAAAGAUUUAUCGCCUUUGGAUGGGCCCGCGUUGGAUUAGCUAGUUGGUAGGGUAAAAGCCUACCAAGGCGACGAUCCAUAGCUGGUCUGAGAGGAUGAUCAGCCACACUGGGACUGAGACACGGCCCAGACUCCUACGGGAGGCAGCAGUGGGGAAUAUUGGACAAUGGGCGAAAGCCUGAUCCAGCAAUGCCGCGUGAGUGAUGAAGGCCUUAGGGUUGUAAAGCUCUUUUACCCGGGAUGAUAAUGGCAGUACCGGGAGAAUAAGCUCCGGCUAACUCCGUG